RNAcentral lists this ribosomal RNA (469 nucleotides) under uncultured bacterium. RNAcentral's name for it is "partial 16S ribosomal RNA". It matches the Rfam family "Bacterial small subunit ribosomal RNA", at positions 28 to 507 of the family's 1533-position model. The record is from RNAcentral.
GACGAACGCUGGCGGCGUGCUUAACACAUGCAAGUCGAACGGAGAGGCCCUGCUUGCAGGGUGCUCGAGUGGCGAACGGGUGAGUAACACGUGGGUGAUCUGCCCCUUACUUUGGGAUAAGCCUGGGAAACUGGGUCUAAUACUGGAUAGGACCAUGCUGUAGGUGGUGUGGUGGAAAGAUUAGUUUCGGUAAGGGAUGAGCUCGCGGCCUAUCAGCUUGUUGGUGGGGUAAUGGCCUACCAAGGCGUCGACGGGUAGCCGGCCUGAGAGGGUGGACGGCCACAUUGGGACUGAGAUACGGCGCAGACGCCUACGGGAGGCAGCAGUGGGGAAUAGUGCACAAUGGGCGCAAGCCUGAUGCAGCGACGCCGCGUGGGGGAUGACGGCCUUCGGGUUGUAAACUCCUUUCAGCCAUGACGAAGCCCUUGUGGUGACGGUAGUGGUAGAAGAAGCACCGGCUAACUACGUG